Molecule: long non-coding RNA, 1093 nt
Organism: Triticum dicoccoides
Lineage: Eukaryota; Viridiplantae; Streptophyta; Magnoliopsida; Poales; Poaceae
Exons: 3
Source: RefSeq, a predicted model, not a curated record
GCUUCCUCCCUUGCUGCCGCCACCUCCAGCCCCCGAUCCCCGUGACCAGCACACCAACGUCCGGCGAGAUACCGGGGGCGCAGCAGCCGCCCUCCCCACCGCGGCUCGGGGGCAGGCAGCAGCAGCCCCUCCCGCUGCCCAGGCUGGUAGCAGCCCCUCCUGUCGCCCUCCCCGAUCCAGAUCCCUCGCCGCCACCCACCUCCACCACAUCUCCCCUCUCCACCUCGAUGCAGAACUCCCCCGUCCCCUCGAUGCGGAGCUUGCUACCGUCCAUGGCCUCCCCCACGCCCUCCUCCUCUCGCCCCUCCCCUUCCCUCACCAGAAGGGAGAGAAGAACCCGAGGGAGGGAGAUCCAACGCGAUCCAGCCUCGGUCUCCGCUGCCUCGGCCUCGCGCCUCGCCGGAGCAGCUCCGCCGCCGACCGAAGUCCCGUAGGUCGACGUGUUCCCCCGCUCUUCUUCCUCCCUCUGUUUGUGUCUCCCUUUUUUUCUCUCAAGUCUCAAUCCCCUUUGUACUUCUCUAUGCAAGGAGGCCGCCAUGGACGCGUGAGGUCCUUCGCUCCGACCCACAACCCGGCGGCCUUGCCGACGUCGUCACCCUGGUGAGCCGCAACCUCGAUGGAGGUCCGGCUUCGGAUCCGAGCCGCAGGCACCCACCCGUCGUUUUCGUGCUUCCGCUCCUGCUCCGUCGUUGUCACGCGACCAUCUUGACUCCCUCCCGCACGCACAAGCAACAGGAAGAUGCAGUUCUUCGUCAAGACCUCAUAGGGUCAUGAGGGAAGAUAUACCAUAUAUAUUCACUCCUCAAGGGAAGCUGCAACCCGCAGAACGUAAGAAAGGGCUGUUGUGUGUUGCGUCCUCGCCAUGUCUGGACAUCAAGUCAGUAGGUUCUUGUCAUCGUCAUGUGUGAGCUGCCAACAGCUCAUCCAUCUCACCAACCUAACAGGGUCUGCUUCUUCCAGGAUGAGCACCGGAUCAGCGUCGACGUGUGUGCCCGCAAGGUCGUGGGUUGCGAGGUCUAUGAGCUGGUUGAGCCACCGCGCGAAGACAUCACUUCCCGCUUCGUUCACGCUUGGCCGCUGCCACCGGCUCUCU